CCAGAGUAUCAAUUGGAGGGCAAGUCUGGUGCCAGCAGCCGCGGUAAUUCCAGCUCCAAUAGCGUAUAUUAAAAUUGUUGCAGUUAAAAAGCUCGUAGUUGAAUUUCUGCUGCAUUACAUAUCUCUUGUUGAGUUUGUUUUUGUGGCUUAUUUCGGUUUGAUUUUUUUAUCUUUCCGGAUGAUUACUUUGAGAAAAUUAGAG
RNAcentral lists this ribosomal RNA (202 nucleotides) under Theileria sp. RNAcentral's name for it is "partial small subunit ribosomal RNA". It matches the Rfam family "Eukaryotic small subunit ribosomal RNA", at positions 536 to 771 of the family's 1831-position model. Lineage: Eukaryota; Apicomplexa; Aconoidasida; Piroplasmida; Theileriidae. The record is from RNAcentral.